RNAcentral lists this ribosomal RNA (380 nucleotides) under marine Metazoa environmental sample. RNAcentral's name for it is "SSU rRNA". It matches the Rfam family "Eukaryotic small subunit ribosomal RNA", at positions 587 to 972 of the family's 1831-position model. Lineage: Eukaryota; Metazoa. The record is from RNAcentral.
AGCUCCAAUAGCGUAUAUUAAAGUUGUUGCAGUUAAAAAGCUCGUAGUUGGAUUUCGGGAUGGGCCAGUCGGUCUGCCGCAAGGUAAGUUACUGGCUGGUCUGUCCUUCUUCGCAAAGACUGCGCGUGCCCUUAACUGAGUGUGCGUAGGAUUUGCGACGUUUACUUUGAAAAAAUUAGAGUGUUCAAAGCAGGCUAACCGCUUGAAUACAUGAGCAUGGAAUAAUGGAAUAGGACUUUGGUUCUAUUUUGUUGGUUUCUGGAACCGAAGUAAUGAUUAAGAGGGACAGUUGGGGGCAUUCGUAUUUCGUUGUCAGAGGUGAAAUUCUUGGAUUUGUUAAAGACUGACUACUGCGAAAGCAUCUGCCAUGGAUGUUUUCA